Molecule: ribosomal RNA, 171 nt
Filed under: Campylobacter coli
Lineage: Bacteria; Pseudomonadati; Campylobacterota; Epsilonproteobacteria; Campylobacterales; Campylobacteraceae
Also listed under: 1 other name
Description: partial 16S ribosomal RNA
Rfam family: Bacterial small subunit ribosomal RNA
Source: RNAcentral
UUUUAUGGAGAGUUUGAUCCUGGCUCAGAGUGAACGCUGGCGGCGUGCCUAAUACAUGCAAGUCGAACGAUGAAGCUUCUAGCUUGCUAGAAGUGGAUUAGUGGCGCACGGGUGAGUAAGGUAUAGUUAAUCUGCCCUACACAAGAGGACAACAGUUGGAAACGACUGCUA